This 510-nucleotide long non-coding RNA is filed under the name Anser brachyrhynchus (Pink-footed goose). Its description in RNAcentral is "lncRNA (ENSABRG00000004703.1)". Lineage: Eukaryota; Metazoa; Chordata; Aves; Anseriformes; Anatidae. The record is from RNAcentral.
UGCUUCAACACUGCCAAGCCAGUCAGUGGCGUUUAGUGUUGUCCUCAAGAGCUGCUUCCUCACUCUUCCGCUGGGCUCCAUCUCCAGUGAGCAACACUAGCCGAAGGGCUUCCUUCUUAACUACAACACUGGUCAUUUUUUCCUCCUUCAACGUCAGCAUUUAAGCCUCCCAGCUGCGGUGGGCCCCCCCUCCCUACACAGCUGAGGUAAACAAGGUACAUCUGUGGGCCUGGCAGGCCUCUUGCAGCCUGCAGCCUGUGGGUGCACCACACCAAGGUCGUGGCUGGGCAGCGCUGCCACCAUGCUUCUGCUGCCCAGCCUGGGUCCCAUCCUGCUCCAGAAGGCCUCCCCCCUCCCUGCCCACGCUCCGGCUCCUCACGAGUUAUGAUAACAUCGGCAGAUAUUCCCCCUGCCACCCAGCCAGCCCUGCGAAGUUGCACUUGUGGCCUUAAUCCCACUUGGAUGUGUGCCCCGCUGCCUCCACUCUCCGUCACUUGGGAAGAAUUAUGA